RNAcentral lists this ribosomal RNA (447 nucleotides) under uncultured bacterium. Its description in RNAcentral is "bacterial SSU rRNA". It matches the Rfam family "Bacterial small subunit ribosomal RNA", at positions 355 to 825 of the family's 1533-position model. The record is from RNAcentral.
UCGGGAAUUUUGGACAAUGGGGGGAACCCUGAUCCAGCAAUGCCGCGUGAGUGAUGAAGGCCUUAGGGUUGUAAAGCUCUUUUACCAGGGAUGAUAAUGACAGUACCUGGAGAAUAAGCUCCGGCUAACUCCGUGCCAGCAGCCGCGGUAAUACGGAGGGAGCUAGCGUUGUUCGGAAUUACUGGGCGUAAAGCGUACGUAGGCGGUGACUCAAGUCAGAGGUGAAAGCCUGGAGCUCAACUCCAGAACUGCCUUUGAAACUAGGUCGCUAGAAUCACGGAGAGGUGAGUGGAAUUCCGAGUGUAGAGGUGAAAUUCGUAGAUAUUCGGAAGAACACCAGUGGCGAAGGCGGCUCACUGGACGUGUAUUGACGCUGAGGUACGAAAGCGUGGGGAGCAAACAGGAUUAGAUACCCCAGUAGUCCCUGAGCGGGCUGGCAAGGCGCAU